AGUUUGAUCCUGGCUCAGGACGAACGCUGGCGGCGUGCCUAACACAUGCAAGUCGAGCGGAGACAGUGAGUAGCUUGCUAUGAGCUUUUUAGCGGCGGGACGGUGUGAAAACGGGUGGGCCACCUCUCCCCGAGCGGGGGAAUACCACCCGGAAGGGGGUUUAUUAUCCCCGAUAGGCCCCGGGGAUCCCUUGGUUGGGAGUAAAAGUUUUUCGGUUGGGGGGGGCUCCGCUCCAAUUAGGUAUUGGGGGAGGAACCGCCCCCCCAAGCCGGAAAAUCGGUACCCCCCCUGAAGGGGUAAUCGCCCACAUUGGGAUUGAGCACCGGCCCAAAAUUCUUACGGGGGGGCAGCAGUGGGGAAUAUUGGGCAAUGGGGGGAACCCUGACCCAGCAACGCCGCGUGGAGGAAGAAGGUUUUCGGAUCGUAAACUCCUGUCCUUGGAGACGAGUAGAAGACGGUAUCCAAGGAGGAAGCCCCGGCUAACUACGUGCCAGCAGCCGCGGUAAUACGUAGGGGGCAAGCGUUGUCCGGAAUAAUUGGGCGUAAAGGGCGCGUAGGCGGCUCGGUAAGUCUGGAGUGAAAGUCCUGCUUUUAAGGUGGGAAUUGCUUUGGAUACUGUCGGGCUUGAGUGCAGGAGAGGUUAGUGGAAUUCCCAGUGUAGCGGUGAAAUGCGUAGAGAUUGGGAGGAACACCAGUGGCGAAGGCGACUAACUGGACUGUAACUGACGCUGAGGCGCGAAAGUGUGGGGAGCAAACAGGAUUAGAUACCCUGGUAGUCCACACUGUAAACGAUGAAUGCUAGGUGUAGGGGGUAUCGACCCCUUCUGUGCCGCAGUCAACACAAUAAGCAUUCCGCCUGGGGAGUACGGCCGCAAGGUUGAAACUCAAAGGAAUUGACGGGGGCCCGCACAAGCAGCGGAGCAUGUGGUUUAAUUCGACGCAACGCGAAGAACCUUACCAGGUCUUGACAUCCACUUAAACUUACAGAGAAGUAAGGUGUGCUUGCACAAAGUGAGACAGGUGGUGCAUGGUUGUCGUCAGCUCGUGUCGUGAGAUGUUGGGUUAAGUCCCGCAACGAGCGCAACCCUUAUCUUCAGUUACUAACGCGUAGAGGUGAGGACUCUGAAGAGACUGCCGGGGACAACUCGGAGGAAGGUGGGGACGACGUCAAAUCAUCAUGCCCCUUAUGACCUGGGCUACACACGUGCUACAAUGGCCACGACAGAGAGAAGCGAAAUCGCAAGGUAGAGCGGAACUCAAAAAAGUGGUCCCAGUUCGGAUUGUGGGCUGCAACCCGCCCACAUGAAGUCGGAGUUGCUAGUAAUCGCGGAUCAGCAUGCCGCGGUGAAUACGUUCCCGGGCCUUGCACACACCGCCCGUC
RNAcentral lists this ribosomal RNA (1381 nucleotides) under uncultured bacterium. Its description in RNAcentral is "bacterial SSU rRNA". It matches the Rfam family "Bacterial small subunit ribosomal RNA". The record is from RNAcentral.